This is an RNA transcript of Tachysurus fulvidraco (yellow catfish), 5420 nucleotides long. It is a transcript of the gene named protocadherin alpha-C2-like, with no coding region annotated. The record is from RefSeq and is a predicted model, not a curated record. NCBI's taxonomy places the organism in Eukaryota, Metazoa, Chordata, Actinopteri, Siluriformes, Bagridae. The transcript has 3 exons.
AAUUAUUUCCUAAAAUGUUACAAUAGACUGCUUGUAGAAAAAAAAAUUAAAGACUAGCAACGAUUAUUCAGUACAAGUGUGCUUUAUAGAUAAGAUGUUUUAUCCUUAUAUUAAACUGCUCUUCACCAGUGUGGUUAUGUGUCAGAGACAUUUUCCCUUGGCAUUAAAUUAUAUUCUAGGAUGGUAAUCUCUGUAUUAGUAAAGCAAACUAAGAGACUGAUGUUAAGGUGGAAUAUUUUAUUUUACCGUUAGGUAAGUUUGUCAGUACAUUUACUACGAAAUUGAUGAAUGGUGCAGAUCAGUGCAUUUUGCGAUGUAUUGCGCACAGUGUCGCUGUUCUCCUUGAAACGCAUUUUACAUCUCUCCAUACGCUCAUUCCGGAGAUAGGAUCAGUCCUUUGUGUGUCUGCCACAGAAUCUUUCCGUUGAAAAUUUUGAACGACUUUAACGAUUUACGCAUCGUUACGACAUUGUAAAUUAGUGCAUUUUACAUUUGGAGAUUGUCUGCAACGCUUGGUUGCCAUUUUCUCUGGUUAGAGCACUGCUAAGGCAUAGGACAAUGGAUUUUCGACUAAGAAGUCCGCUAAUGAAAAGGUACGUUGCCGCCAUCGUUUUGUCUGUUUUCUUGAGCACAGCAUCCGCUGUUACACAUUAUUCUAUUCCUGAAGAAAUGGAGGCAGGUUCCGUGGUAGCUAAUUUAGCAACGGAUCUUGGACUGGAUAUUAAGACUUUGAGCAAACGCAAGAUAAGACUGGAUACAUUGUCUAAUAAAAAAUAUUUGGAUAUUAACAAAGAAACAGGCGAGUUGGUGAUCUUGGAGAGAAUUGACAGAGAACACAUUUGCAUGUCAAAAUUAGCUACAACUUGCAUUUUAAAGCUUGAUGCAACCACGGAAGAUCCAGUAAGGAUGUUUAACAUUGAGCUGGAAAUUAUUGAUAUCAACGACAAUGCUCCACAUUUCAGAAGAGAUACAAUGCAUUUAGACAUUUCUGAAUCAACUCCUGUUGGAGAGCGAUUUUCAUUAAAUAAUGCAGUCGACCCUGACAUCGGAGUAAACUCAAUUAAAACGUAUUAUCUAAGUGACAGUGAUCAUUUUUCGAUCGAAAUCCAAACUGGUCGUGAUGGAUCGAAAUUUACAGAUUUAAUUUUGAAAAAGCCUUUAGACAGGGAGGAAGUGGGAGUUCAUAAUCUGAUACUCACUGCUGUAGAUGGCGGAGUUCCUGCUCGCUCUGGCACAGCCAACAUCAUUGUGCGCGUUCUUGACACAAAUGACAAUGCCCCUCACUUUGAUAAAGACAGCUACACAAUUAACAUACCGGAAAACUCUCCGAUUGGAAGCCUUGUGGUAAAAUUAAAUGCAACUGACGCCGAUGACGGAUCUAAUUCCGACCUCACCUACGCAUACAGUUUAUAUACAACAGAAAAAACGCAGCAAACUUUUAGUUUAAAUCCAGAUACUGGAGAAAUAAAAGUAAAAGAAAUGAUUAAUUACGAGGAUUUCAGGAUUUAUGACAUGGAAAUUGUUGCAACAGACAAAGGAGCAAAUUCCUUAUCUGGGAAUUGUAAAGUAAGAAUUUUAAUCUCGGAUAUGAAUGAUAAUCAUCCACAAAUAUCAAUUAAGUCUUUCACGAGUCCAGUCAAAGAGAAUGUAGUUGUAGGCACAGUUAUUGCUGUUAUUAGUGUGAAUGAUAAAGAUUCGGGAGAAAAUGGUCACUUUGACGUUGAUAUUUCUGAAAAAUUACCGUUUGCUUUAAAAGAAUCAUCAGAUAAUUAUUACGAGCUUAUAGUUUCAGAACCGUUGGAUCGCGAAAAGGUUGCAGAGUAUGACAUCACAUUUACAGUUACGGACAGAGGAAACCCUCCGUUGUCCGAUAACGAAACUGUAACUCUAGAACUGCUAGACGUUAACGACAACGCCCCGCAGUUUCCCCGAUCAUUUUAUACACUACAGGUUAUGGAAAAUAAUUCACCUGGAGCUUUACUGAGCGCCCUCACUGCACACGACCCAGAUCUCCAUGAAAAUCAGUAUCUCGUUUAUUUCAUAAUAGAAAAAGAAAUACUGAACACCUCCAUGUCCAUGCUCUUCUCCAUUAAUCCGGAGAACGGUAAUCUUUACGCACUAAAGACGUUUGAUUAUGAGAUAGAGAAGGAGUUUCUUUUUCAUAUUGAGGCCAGAGAUUCUGGUGUUCCUCCACUCAGCAGUAACGUAACUGUUCACAUUAUUAUCAUGGACCAGAACGACAACACUCCUGUUAUAGUGUCUCCAUGGCGCGCGCAUGGCUCAGUGGUUGAAGAAAAAAUACCGAGAUCCACCGAUAAAGGAACUCUGAUAGCGAAAGUAAUUGCUAUAGACACUGACUCAGUGCACAACUCUCGCAUUACAUACCAGUUUCUUCAGAACACUGAUGCUACAUUAUUCAGCCUGGACCAGUACAAUGGAGAGAUCCGGACCACGAGAAUGUUCAGUUACAGAGACUCACGCCACCAGCGGAUGGUGGUGAUUGCCAAGGAUAACGGAGAGCCCUCACUCUCUGCUACAGUUACCAUCAAACUGUCCACAGUGGAGACUGCACUGAAAAGCUAUGCUGACAUGACUGAAGUGCCUUUAGAAUAUGACAUCUUUUCUGAUUUGAACCUGUAUCUGGUAAUUGGACUUGGUUCAGUAUCAUUCCUGUUACUGAUCACUAUAUUGGUGACCAUCGUGCUGAAAUGUCAGAAACCAAAGGCCAGUAAAGGUGCUCCUGCCUGUAGGAACAGUGUGAUCAGUGAGAGGAACUCUACAAUCGCAGAUUCUACUCUGGUAUCCAACGAUGCUUACUGGUACAGUUUAUUUCUAGCAGAGACCAGAAAAGGAAAGCUGGUAGUUAGACAACCUGUGCCAAAGGGGUCAAGAUACUUUGUUUCCAGUAUACCGCGGAGCACAGGACUGACUGAGACUAGUGACUCAGCUGCAUCCACUUUACAGUACUCAAAAUGAGAGAUGUCCCUUCUCAUGCUGAAGGUAUGCAGCCCUGCCAUCUUCUUUCUGGAGCACCUCAACUGCCUCUACCACCACCAGUAGCAGUUCCUCAUGAGCCUUCAUUCCAUGUCCUGUUGCUCAAGUGAUGCUGAGAAGAACCCGAUCUACAAAAAUCAAGCGUCUCAUUCCUGUACACCUGUUUGCUGAUUUAGAACCUGUGUCUCUGUUCAGAUUUUUUCUUAAUACACCAAUUGUACAUUGUCUUUGCAUUUUGUCAGUAAUAAUUGUGCAAAUUUAACGCACCUGAUUGGAAAUGACUUCAGUUCUGGUUGUGACUAAUCGAUGUUCUUACCUAAUAGAGGAUUUUCCCACUCCCACUCAGAACAGUGUUUACGACCGGGCUCCAUGCAUGGAUCUGCAUGGCUAUAUCUAUGGACAUUUGUUUACUUUAUAUAAACUUUUAGACUUUUCACUGUCUGACACAUCUAAAUUUUCAAGUGAGCUUGGUGAAAGCCUAAAAUGAACAUAAAAUGAAGAACAACACAAAAAAGCACAAAGAAGUGUCAUUAAGCUGAUAGGACCCUGAAAUUGUGCAUGUGGUGAUAGCCUUGAAUGGUCCAUGUUCAACUUUUCCCUAAUGGAUGUCAAAUCAUUACAUUUAUGUUUCCACUAUGUGUUAUGCCAUAUAUGUAUUGCUGGCUUGGCAAAUUAAAAUUGUGAUAAACAAAUUACACAUGUUCCAUUUAAAUAAUUUGUAUUGCAUUACCAAAAAUAUAUUUCUUCACUGUUUUUAAGUUGCUUUACAGUUGAAUUGUAACCCAUCUUUGACCUUUGUUCAUAAAGUAUCCCAGUCCAAAUGGGUUCAUUCUGAUUAUGGUUUUCAUUUUACAUGAAUUAACUUUUAUUAAACAAAAUAAACAUGUACCAUAUCAAUUUCAUAUGACAUUAAUUUUAGUCGUAUAAAUCUUGAACAUGUUUACUGUAAAUAAGCACAUAUUAGACUGGAUACAGUAGAAAGGCAUAUAGCUUGCAUUAUAUGAACAUUUAACAUUUAAAAUGUCUUCAUACUAUUGUGUAGACUUUACUUCAAUCUUAAAUUACUAUAAAAUAAGACAAAACAACAAGGUUGUGAUGGUGUCUUGUUCCAGUUUAGGGUGUUUUAUUUGUGUUAUGGCAAUUGUUAUGAUUUUACUAAAAAUGUACUGUACUUUCUUAUUGAAAUUUUAUCAUUUGUUUUAGAUGUUCAAAACUGAUUUAGCGUUAUUUUGUUUUAUAAACUAAAAAAGUGUCUUUUUGUUUGCAAAGUGUUAUGCUGGUGGUGCAUUAUUUAGAUGGUUGUGUUAACCUAUAGUAUGAACUGCAUCAAUUUUGUACUCUGCAGUUGUUCUAAAUGCUGAGAAAAUGGCUUAUUAUUUGUGUAUCACAAUCAGAAACGUCUUGUUAAAAUAUAUGCAGGCUUCUGAUGACAUUCCCAGGCAGGACAUAAACACCAAGAGGUUAUAGGCCAGUAUGUUGCAUGGCACACUAACAUAUGAAUUAAUAGAUAGAAAACCAUAAGAGGGUUUCAAUUGAUUUGUCGUAUGAGCUAGUAAUUUAUGUAUACUGCUUGCUACAAAAGCAGCAUACUCUAAGAGUGAACAGAUUCACCCUUUCUUGCACCUCUUUUCCACUGCAACACUGUUUAUAAGUUGCCAUCAAAUAUUACUUGUGCACAAACAGUCUCAUUUCAAACUAAACAUGUUCUGCCUGAAAGAAAUUUCAUCAGAAUCCUUCUAACCUUCUAAACUUCAACUUUAUGUCUCUGUGUACAUCAUGAUAUACAUAAUACACAUGUGGUCUGUACAUUUUUAUGAAAAGGUAGAAAUAUAUAUAUAAAAAAAAAAGUAUUCAGUGUGCUGAUAUAGGGAUGCUUUUUUAAAAAAAAUAUGCCUAAUUACAGCUAAUGUAAUGCAAGCAGUACAGCUAAAUGGAAUUAACCUGUAUAUCCUGUAUGUAGUUUAAAUCAGAACAUAGGCAUUUGAUUUUAACUGUCUGGAUUUUAAUGGUAUUGUGUUACAAUAAAGUAAGUAAAUGACAGUAAUGAUACUGAUAAAAAUCAUUAUGUCUGACAAAAAGAAAACCGUUCUGUAUUCUGCUGCAUGAUACAAUGCUUUGUUUUUUGUAUGUGUACAUAUGGGGUGUAUAACUAAAAUGGUUAAUCUUUAAAAAUAGCAGUGAGCUGACUUACCACCUUUUACCUUAUUUUAAUUAUUUGUAUUUUUAUUAUACCUUUCAGUUUUUGCACAUUUAACUCAUAAGCUUGGUUUAUAUGAACAUUUAGAGUUGUGCUACUAAUUGUAUUGCAUACCUCUCUCUUCUUGUGAUUGCAAAAAUGUGAUUAAUAUCCUUCAAAGGAUGUUGUUAUCCUCUCUACAUCACCAUUGACUUAUGUAAUAAAAUGGAAGGAUUUCAAUGCAAAGGAA